GAUGAACGCUGGCGGCGUGCCUAAUACAUGCAAGUCGAGCGAAUGGAUUAAGAGCUUGCUCUUAUGAAGUUAGCGGCGGACGGGUGAGUAACACGUGGGUAACCUGCCCAUAAGACUGGGAUAACUCCGGGAAACCGGGGCUAAUACCGGAUAACAUUUUGAACCGCAUGGUUCGAAAUUGAAAGGCGGCUUCGGCUGUCACUUAUGGAUGGACCCGACUAGCAUUAGCUAGUUGGUGAGGUAACGGCUCACCAAGGCAACGAUGCGUAGCCGACCUGAGAGGGUGAUCGGCCACACUGGGACUGAGACACGGCCCAGACUCCUACGGGAGGCAGCAGUAGGGAAUCUUCCGCAAUGGACGAAAGUCUGACGGAGCAACGCCGCGUGAGUGAUGAAGGCUUUCGGGUCGUAAAACUCUGUUGUUAGGGAAGAACAAGUGCUAGUUGAAUAAGCUGACACCUUGACGGUACCUAACCAGAAAGCCACGGCUAACUACGUGCCAGCAGCCGCCGCCG
Molecule: ribosomal RNA, 515 nt
Filed under: uncultured bacterium
Lineage: Bacteria
Description: partial 16S ribosomal RNA
Rfam family: Bacterial small subunit ribosomal RNA
Source: RNAcentral